CAGGACUCCGUUUUUCUUCCGUUUGCUUGUUUCCCAAGAUAAAAACUCUUUAUAUACUGCCCUGAACCUAUUGACCGCACAAAGGACAAGGGUCGUGUUCUCCGUCUCCUCCGGUCGCUUCGCCUCUCGGAUCCUCCGCUCUUUCCCCUCGGCAGCUACACCAAUCACAACACAACAUCAGGGAUAAGGAAAAAAAUGCAUGCGUCUAAUGAAAGCGACAUUUCCAUCAGUUCUACUAAUUUGUCACCAACUUCCUGGAAAUAUGAGAUAAUUGAAGGAAAUACAAAUAUAGGCUAUCCUAGGCGGCAAAGUGUUUGGCAUGCCAUCAUUUGAUACUAGUGGCACAAGCCAUUUAUUUUAACUGGGUUAUUUGCGUAUCAAGGCAUUUUUUGUAUAGCUAUAGGUUUUAUAUAGCAUUUAUUAGGACCGAGCAGAGCAUACCUUAAACGCAGCAACGCCGAUCAACAGCAGGAACAAACCACACAGAUACAUGCUAUUUCCUUGAUCACAGUAGCCAACCUUCACAGCACCUGGAAGAGAAACAUUAAAAUAUGGGUCCAUAAAUCAACAUGGGUUUACGGCCUAUAUGCAUCCACACACACUCGUCAGAAAAGUAGAGAUAACUAAUUAGUAAUUGCUCCUCUUAACUUCUGUAGAACAUAACAAACAAGAGCUCCUCUUAACUAAUUAGUAAUUGAUCAAGUAGAACCUAACACCAACUCAUAAUAUGUCAAGUACAGAAGCAAUUCCUUUGAACAAAACACAUAAGAAAAAAGAGCAAAAGAAAAGAAAGCGUAAGUCUAUCGAUGAUCCAACACUGACAUAUGUUUUUGUCACUAAAUCUGCUGCAACACACUAAUAUGCAAGAACAGCAGAUGCACAAAGUCAUCUCAUACCAAGUGAAGAUAAUAUGACAAGUAGGGAGCAACCAGCGGUGCUACACAUGCAGCAAGCUUUGCCCGUCUGCAUAACAGAAUAUACUUCGUCAUUUAUAUGUCUUAGCAUAGUAUAAUACUGCACAUACAGCAAAAAAACAAGCACCACGAACCUCCUGGAUAAACAACAGAAACAACCAAGAAGCACUCAGUUUUCAAUUCAUCAAAGGACUAAAAAUAUAAAACUUUGCAUGCAGAAAAAUUGACUCCCAUGCAUUGCAAAACUAACCAAAUUCUGAAUCCAUUUACAGGUGAGGAACACAAAAAAAUUCCUAGUAAAGUAUACUACUGAAAUAAGUGCUUUGAAACAUAGAAUUUUGGAGCUGCACAAAAGAUGCAGCUGAAGAGGACACCCCUAAAUGAAAACAUCAAGCUAAAAAAUUAAGCUAGCAAACCAGUCUGACCUAUUAGAUAUCCCACAUGGACAGUAGCACCUAAAUAUUGAGGCAACAAAAUUGACAAAAAAAUCCCCAUAUAUGAACAUCACAACCUGUGGGCAUUAACUAAACACAAAUUAAACCUAAAAGAAGAAGUCAAAUGAUAAAUCUUCUACAACAUUAACGCAUGGGAUUGUGUUCAACGAGAGAAAUAUCACCUUGUUCUUCUUCACCAAAUUCUUCUGUUGGAUUAUUCCUCCUCUUAUUUCUCAGAUCGUCAGACAUUGAAUCAGAGGAUGGAGCGCCUAACAGAGCAGAGCAAGGAAAAUCUUUAGGUCUAGUAAAACAUUAGCCAAGCGAGUACACAAAUUCUUGUCCAUUACCUUAAGGAAUAUGAGAUCCAAAAAUAAUACAUUGCGAUAAGGUGACCAUUAUGACAAUGUCCAUGGACCUGCAAGCACCAUUGAGUACAAUCACAGAAGAAAAUCAAAAAUACAUUACAAAACAACAGGAGAUCAUCAUCAUAAUACCCUUAAUCUAAGAGAAUAAAUGAAUAAUAAUCAAGAAAUAAUGGAAGGAGAACAGAACUAUAAAGCUUUUAUUAAUCGAUGAGUAGCCUGGUUCACUUCCAAAUAUAAAUAUGCAGAAAUUGAAGGAGGUGGACACCGAUCAAUUUGACAUGCUGCUGUCUGCCAAACUAAGAGACACAACCAGCCAAUGUAUUUUUAGCUCCACAACACCAAUCUGAUUGUAAGCUGAUCAAGAAGAAAGAAUAGACAAUAUAAAUCAUGCCCCUAUUAUCCUAACCGAGGGCAGCCGACAAGCGGGACCAGGAGCAGCACCGGCCCACCUUUCAUUGCGAGACCACAAGCUCGGGCGCACAAGCUGGGUGCGCAUGUGUCGGCCAACCUCUCGAUGGCUUCCCACGACGUGCAUGACACGGUCAGCGUGCGACAUGACGUGCGACGUGGCAGGAACAGGCUCACCCAACGAAAUCCAACCCAGCCAAUGGAGGCCUGAGCUGAGCCCACUAGUCAUAGUACGCCACGAAAGAACAUCAGGUAAAAAAUGCAGUAAAAUCUAACGUCCGGUAGAGCAGCGUUGCCCCGACUUGUGUGGAUCGAACCGGUAGAAUCGAAUGGAAAUCGAGGGAGCUUCAGGUGAGCGGGUCGCCCAGCCACAGAGUAUUCAUCAAAAUUCAGUAUAAAAAAGGACUACUCAUGAAUAGAAAGAUCAUUGUCGCAAUUUGGAAUGACAUGUUCUAGUAGGAAUCCUAGAUAUACAAAGAGAGUAUUAGUUCAGCAGAAUCAAUAUCAUUAUUCAACAAACUAUCAACCAUUACACAAUAUCUCAAGAAUUUAUAGUGUAGCCACCAAACAAAGUGGUAAUCAAGGCAACAUCAAUCUAACAACAAUGGCUGACUGAUGAUGUUUUAGUCCUUCCGGUUUACUAAUUCAGAGGAACUGUAACAAAAAUCGCUCUUUGGUCAAUAGCAUCAACUGAUUCUUUGAACUCUAAAUUCCACUCUUAGCUAAAAUUAUUCUUCCUCUCUUCUAUGUCAGAUCUGCACACGUCAAGUUUAAAAAUCCAUAUAAUAGCAAAGUAAAAUACGUGUGAGGAAGAAAUUAAGAGAGGGAGAGAAAGAGUGGAGCACCAAGUUUGCCGCCGGCUUGCAUCGCUCGAGCCACCUGCAACAGGCACCUCCAGAUCCACGAGGCAGCCAUGGGAGGAGGGAUGAGCUCCUGGUUCCUCUCGCCUUCCCACACCGCCUGUUCACCUCGACCUCCUUGCCUAAUGGGGGGGUGUGGAGGCAGAUGUGGCGCCUCUCAUGGUGCAGAGGAGGUGACGACGCGGUGGUGCAACAAGUCGACCUGCCAGCCGCCGACAGGUGCGCGAGGCCUCACCCUGCCCCUUCCCCAUGCUAGGAUCGCUCACCUUCUCCUUCCCUGCUGUUGCUUGCCUUCCUUGCCGGCCUCCUCCUUCCCUUGUCGUCCGCACCCUACACCUCCCCUACAUCCCCACCCGCACUGCGAAGAUGACCUACUUCCGAUCUGGAUCGACGAUGACAUGGAAGUGCACAGGAGGAGGCGAGCAGAGGAGAAGGCUGGCGGUGGGAUCAACGGCGACAUGAUAGAGGAGAGGAGGAGGCGAGUGGAGAGACGAGGUCGGCCGACGGCUGCUGGCAAGGAGAGGAUGGUGGGGAUCGAGGGAGGGGUGCGGCGGCUCGUGGGGAUCGAGGGGAAAGAGAAAGAGGGCUAGGGUUCAUUUGGCGGCUGGGGUGGGAGUGGGGCAAGAUGCGGGUGAUUUUGUGC
RNAcentral lists this long non-coding RNA (3624 nucleotides) under Triticum aestivum (bread wheat). RNAcentral describes it as "long non-coding RNA (TAES_LNC003190)". Lineage: Eukaryota; Viridiplantae; Streptophyta; Magnoliopsida; Poales; Poaceae. The record is from RNAcentral.